CUGAUCUUGGUCCCUGGUUUUCUGCAAGGACCUCUACAGAGACCCCAGGAAGACCAUUGAGAAACCUCACAGUCCAGUGGUGUUUCUGCAAUAUACACAAUAAAAAGGUGAGAAACAACCCAUCAACUUCUGAGUAACUACAACAUCAUCUUAAGUACAUUAAAGAGCUCCCAGGAAGGAGGAGCAGAUUUCUGAUUCCCUGAAGGCAAAUGAACAUAUGGAGCCUGGAGCAUAUUUUUAAGUGAAGCUCCUGCUGUGCCAGAGGAUUUAUUUGUGUGUGGCUAUUUGUUUCUGGGCAUUGGAUUAGACUACUGAAGGAACGGUCUGGGAGGUAAGGAAUGCUGGGAACAGCUUUGUGUUAGCUCUGCUGAGCUCUAGUGCCUGGCUUCCAAAGUCCUCGUUCUACCUAGCUCUCAGAUUUUCCAAAGCUAGCUGUCGAUGACAUAGGACACCACUAUUUUAUGAGAAGUCCUUGCUCUGCCCAGUUCUUGGUAAUCUUUCAGGCACUUCCUCUUGCGCGUCUGCCUCAGUGCUAUGCUGAGCAAAGGGUGAAAAGUGUCUUCUGCAAAAUUCACUGAUUUAUAUCUAGCGUGUGAGCGCAGUACGGCCUUAUAAUGAAAACUCUGUGUGUCUUAGCAAGCUCUUUGC
Molecule: long non-coding RNA, 648 nt
Organism: Oxyura jamaicensis (ruddy duck)
Lineage: Eukaryota; Metazoa; Chordata; Aves; Anseriformes; Anatidae
Exons: 3
Source: RefSeq, a predicted model, not a curated record